Molecule: ribosomal RNA, 467 nt
Filed under: uncultured bacterium
Lineage: Bacteria
Description: partial 16S ribosomal RNA
Rfam family: Bacterial small subunit ribosomal RNA
Source: RNAcentral
GACGAACGCUGGCGGCGUGCUUAACACAUGCAAGUCGAACGGAAAGGCCCUGCUUUUGUGGGGUGCUCGAGUGGCGAGCGGGUGAGUAACACGUGAGUAACCUGCCCUUGACUUUGGGAUAACUUCAGGAAACUGGGGCUAAUACCGGAUAGGAGCUCCUGCUGCAUGGUGGGGGUUGGAAAGUUUCGGCGGUUGGGAUGGACUCGCGGCUUAUCAGCUUGUUGGUGGGGUAGUGGCUUACCAAGGCUUUGACGGGUAGCCGGCCUGAGAGGGUGACCGGCCACAUUGGGACUGAGAUACGGCCCAGACUCCUACGGGAGGCAGCAGUGGGGAAUAUUGCACAAUGGGCGGAAGCCUGAUGCAGCAACGCCGCGUGCGGGAUGACGGCCUUCGGGUUGUAAACCGCUUUCGCCUGUGACGAAGCGUGAGUGACGGUAAUGGGUAAAGAAGCACCGGCUAACUACGUG